RNAcentral lists this long non-coding RNA (722 nucleotides) under Homo sapiens (human). RNAcentral describes it as "non-protein coding lnc-S1PR1-10:1". Lineage: Eukaryota; Metazoa; Chordata; Mammalia; Primates; Hominidae. The record is from RNAcentral.
GAUAUCAUCACGUUACUCAAGUUUUCUAUUCUGGUCCUUCUCAUUGUUUCAUUUCAUCCCCCUUUAUCUCUGGAUCAAAUUGAAGCUGCUGAUUAAAUUAUUUAAACAAAGCUUUGGCCAUGUUGUUUUUUGUUUGUCUUCCCUCCUUUUUUCUUUCCCGUUGGCUGUCCGAUAUGCAUGCUCUUCUUUACUAUUGGGCACCAAACCGUAUUGCUCCUUAAUGUAUCUCUGGCCACUUUCUCCAGGUAAUCUUGAUGAAGUUCCUUUAGCCAUUUUCACCUCACCAGGACCAUCUAGAGGCCAAUUUUAUGUUCAGCUUAGUCCUGUAAUUGGAAGACAGUGCUCCUGUCUGUGAUUGUGGCUGAAAGGCUAAUGUUCAACAUCCAAUUCUUGACAUUUUCCUGGGUCAUCAUGCUCCUUCCUUGGGGUUCCAAAUGCUGCUCGCUUGUAGCUCUAUUUGGAAAUCUUUUGAUUCUAUCAUGACAUUAAAGCUGAGCCUGUCAGCACAGUGCUCAAUGUAUCCACAAAUAAUUGAUUGGAGAUGACAAGCUGGUUGAAGUCUAGGCUGCUGUAUCUCUGUGAGUCUUCCUAUUGCUAAAAACAGGAAUGGAGACAGGUUGGGGAAAAUGGCAGAUAUGAGGCAGGACUAAACUGCAGCUCCCAUUCAGACAGAGAGCAGCAUGUGGAGACUCACAUCGUGAACUUUUGCUCCCACAUCUAUC